GCCCCUAGCGCAGACGGCGGAGAGCAGAGAGGGAGCGCGCCUUGGCUCGCUGGCCUUGGCGGCGGCUCCUCAGGAGAGCUGGGGCGCCCACGAGAGGAUCCCUCACCCGGGUCUCUCCUCAGGGAUGACAUCAUCCGUCCACCUCCUUGUCUUCAAGGACCACCUCCUCUCCAUGCUGAGCUGCUGCCAAGGGGCCUGCUGCCCAUCUACACCUCACGAGGGCACUAGGAGCACGGUUUCCUGGAUCCCACCAACAUACAAAGCAGCCACUCACUGACCCCCAGGACCAGGAUGGCAAAGGAUGAAGAGGACCGGAACUGACCAGCCAGCUGUCCCUCUUACCUAAAGACUUAAACCAAUGCCCUAGUGAGGGGGCAUUGGGCAUUAAGCCCUGACCUUUGCUAUGCUCAUACUUUGACUCUAUGAGUACUUUCCUAUAAGUCUUUGCUUGUGUUCACCUGCUAGCAAACUGGAGUGUUUCCCUCCCCAAGGGGGUGUCAGUCUUUGUCGACUGACUCUGUCAUCACCCUUAUGAUGUCCUGAAUGGAAGGAUCCCUUUGGGAAAUUCUCAGGAGGGGGACCUGGGCCAAGGGCUUGGCCAGCAUCCUGCUGGCAACUCCAAGGCCCUGGGUGGGCUUCUGGAAUGAGCAUGCUACUGAAUCACCAAAGGCACGCCCGACCUCUCUGAAGAUCUUCCUAUCCUUUUCUGGGGGAAUGGGGUCGAUGAGAGCAACCUCCUAGGGUUGUUGUGAGAAUUAAAUGAGAUAAAAGAGGCCUCAGGCAGGAUCUGGCAUAGAGGAGGUGAUCAGCAAAUGUUUGUUGAAAAGGUUUGACAGCCAAGCUUCUUGAAAGGCCUGUCUACACUUGCUGUCUUCCUUCCUCACCUCCAAUUUCCUCUUCAACCCACUGCUUCCUGACUCGCUCUACUCCGUGGAAGCACGCUCACAAAGGCACGUGGGCCGUGGCCCGGCUGGGUCGGCUGAAGAACUGCGGAUGGAAGCUGCGGAAGAGGCCCUGAUGGGGCCCACCAUCCCGGACCCAAGUCUUCUUCCUGGCGGGCCUCUCGUCUCCUUCCUGGUUUGGGCGGAAGCCAUCACCUGGAUGCCUACGUGGGAAGGGACCUCGAAUGUGGGACCCCAGCCCCUCUCCAGCUCGAAAUCCCUCCACAGCCACGGGGACACCCUGCACCUAUUCCCACGGGACAGGCUGGACCCAGAGACUCUGGACCCGGGGCCUCCCCUUGAGUAGAGACCCGCCCUCUGACUGAUGGACGCCGCUGACCUGGGGUCAGACCCGUGGGCUGGACCCCUGCCCACCCCGCAGGAACCCUGAGGCCUAGGGGAGCUGUUGAGCCUUCAGUGUCUGCAUGUGGGAAGUGGGCUCCUUCACCUACCUCACAGGGCUGUUGUGAGGGGCGCUGUGAUGCGGUUCCAAAGCACAGGGCUUGGCGCACCCCACUGUGCUCUCAAUAAAUGUGUUUCCUGUCUUAACAAAA
This 1495-nucleotide long non-coding RNA is filed under the name Homo sapiens (human). Its description in RNAcentral is "HSALNT0379199". The stretch from base 535 to 639 matches the Rfam family "Maternally expressed 3 conserved region 2". Lineage: Eukaryota; Metazoa; Chordata; Mammalia; Primates; Hominidae. The record is from RNAcentral.